This 921-nucleotide ribosomal RNA is filed under the name Triticum aestivum (bread wheat). RNAcentral's name for it is "partial small subunit ribosomal RNA". Lineage: Eukaryota; Viridiplantae; Streptophyta; Magnoliopsida; Poales; Poaceae. The record is from RNAcentral.
AUGGGACUUGUACACUUCUGUACUGGAUGGACCGCUCAUGGAUUGGGAUCAAAGGGACGCGAGCGUGCUGAUGUCCAUCGGGUAGGCGUCGUUGGGCGACUGGGCGCGGUAGGACCGCCGGCCGACGAUGAUGUUGGCCGCCUCCGACGGGUGGAAGGCGUCCCAGAAGAUGUGCUGGUCCCUGUUGGCGCAGGGCGCCUGGUACGGCAGGCACGUCACCUCCCCGUUGUUCCGGCCCACGCCGCAGCACCCGGCGGUGGACUCCGUGAACCCGUAGGCGGCGGCGUUGGCCAGGAUGUCGGCGAAGAUGUUGUAGGCGUUGAUGUAGGUGAAGUGCGCGCCGGGGAGGGCGUUCAUCUGGUCCACGAGGCCGACCAGCCGCCGGUUGAAGAUCUGGAUGGCGCUGUCGAUGCGGCCGACGCAGGUGGCGCCGUCGGGGCUGUAGCGCGCCAGCUCGUUGGGGGCGCAGCCGACCUGGCCGACCCCGAUCAGGGCCACCUUCCGGGCGCCGUAGCUGUACAUGGCCUGGAGGUAGCGGCGGUAGUCGGCGAUGAGCGAGUCGGCGAACUGCUCCGGCGUGUAGCGGCUGCCGGUGCUGUAGAAGGCCGGCUGGAAGUAGUUGUUGAGGUAGUCGUUGCUGCCCAUGCCCACCGUGAAGAUGCACUGGCUCAGCCGCUCCGACGCCGUGUCCCGGUCGCCCAGGAUGUUCACCAGCGUCUGCACCGCCGUCUGGUAGUUCUGCACCUGCCCCGCGAACGGGAUCCGCCCGCCCUGCAUGCAUCACGCCCACUCCAUGAGAUCAAUUUCUUUUGGCUCUGCGACAUGCAUGAUCGUCGUGAGCUUGUGAUAUGCACACUCCACGACGUACCAGCUGCUGGCCGGUCUCGGCACGGAUCCCGGCGGCGGCGGAGGCGAAGUUGA